UACGAAGGUGGCAAGCGUUGUUCGGAUUUACUGGGCGUACAGGGAGCGUAGGCGGUUGGGUAAGCCCUCCGUUAAAUCUCCGGGACUAACCCGGAAAGGGCGGAGGGGACUGCUCGGCUAGAGGAUGGGAGAGGAGCGCGGAAUUCCCGGUGUAGCGGUGAAAUGCGUAGAGAUCGGGAGGAAGGCCGGUGGCGAAGGCGGCGCUCUGGAACAUUUCUGACGCUGAGGCUCGAAAGCGUGGGGAGCAAACAGG
This 253-nucleotide ribosomal RNA is filed under the name uncultured bacterium. RNAcentral describes it as "partial 16S ribosomal RNA". It matches the Rfam family "Bacterial small subunit ribosomal RNA", at positions 524 to 776 of the family's 1533-position model. The record is from RNAcentral.